UAGGGAAUCUUCCGCAAUGGGCGAAAGCCUGCCGGAGCAACGCCGCGUGAGUGAAGAAGGUCUUCGGAUCGUAAAACUCUGUUAUUAGGGAAGAACAAAUGUGUAAGUAACUAUGCACGUCUUGACGGUACCUAAUCAGAAAGCCACGGCUAACUACGUGCCAGCAGCCGCGGUAAUACGUAGGUGGCAAGCGUUAUCCGGAAUUAUUGGGCGUAAAGCGCGCGUAGGCGGUUUUUUAAGUCUGAUGUGAAAGCCCACGGCUCAACCGUGGAGGGUCAUUGGAAACUGGAAAACUUGAGUGCAGAAGAGGAAAGUGGAAUUCCAUGUGUAGCGGUGAAAUGCGCAGAGAUAUGGAGGAACACCAGUGGCGAAGGCGACUUUCUGGUCUGUAACUGACGCUGAUGUGCGAAAGCGUGGGGAUCAAACAGG
Molecule: ribosomal RNA, 429 nt
Filed under: Actinomycetes bacterium
Lineage: Bacteria; Bacillati; Actinomycetota; Actinomycetes
Description: Actinobacteria bacterium partial 16S ribosomal RNA
Rfam family: Bacterial small subunit ribosomal RNA
Source: RNAcentral